Molecule: non-coding RNA, 28 nt
Filed under: Rattus norvegicus (Norway rat)
Lineage: Eukaryota; Metazoa; Chordata; Mammalia; Rodentia; Muridae
Source: RNAcentral
UCAGCAUUUGCCCAGAUUUGUCUUGAGU